UACGUAGGGGCCGAGCGUUGUUCGGAUUUACUGGGCGUAAAGGGCUCGUAGGUGGCCAACUAAGUCAGACGUGAAAGCCCCCGGCUCAACUGGGGAGGGUCACGCGAUACUGAUCGACUCGAAGGCAGGAGAGGGAAGUGGAAUUCCCGGUGUAGUGGUGAAAUGCGUAGAUAUCGGGAGGAACACCAGUGGCGAAGGCGACUUCCUGGCCUGUUCUUGACGCUGAGGCGCGAAAGCUAGGGGAGCAAACGGG
This 253-nucleotide ribosomal RNA is filed under the name uncultured bacterium. Its description in RNAcentral is "partial 16S ribosomal RNA". It matches the Rfam family "Bacterial small subunit ribosomal RNA", at positions 524 to 776 of the family's 1533-position model. The record is from RNAcentral.